This 583-nucleotide ribosomal RNA is filed under the name Agaricostilbomycetes sp. TY-228. RNAcentral's name for it is "eukaryotic LSU rRNA". It matches the Rfam family "Eukaryotic large subunit ribosomal RNA", at positions 57 to 652 of the family's 3401-position model. The record is from RNAcentral. Lineage: Eukaryota; Fungi; Basidiomycota; Agaricostilbomycetes.
AAAAGAAACUAACAAGGAUUCCCCUAGUAGCGGCGAGCGAAGCGGGAAGAGCUCAAAUUUAUAAUCUGGCGCUUUCGGCGUCCGAGUUGUAAUCUCUAGAAGUGUUUUCCGCGUUGGACCGCACAUAAGUCUGUUGGAAUACAGCGGCACAGUGGUGAGACCCCCGUUCACGGUGCGGAUGCCCAAUGCUUUGUGAUACACUUUCGAAGAGUCGAGUUGUUUGGGAAUGCAGCUCAAAUUGGGUGGUAAAUUCCAUCUAAAGCUAAAUAUUGGCGAGAGACCGAUAGCGAACAAGUACCGUGAGGGAAAGAUGAAAAGCACUUUGGAAAGAGAGUUAACAGUACGUGAAAUUGUUGGAAGGGAAACGCUUGAAGUCAGACUUGCUAUUCGGGGCUUGCUCCGAGUUGCAGGCCAGCAUCAGUUUUUCGGGGCGGAAAAUCACGGAUUGAAGGUAGCAGUUUCGGCUGUGUUAUAGCUUUCCGUUGGAUACGUCCUGGGGGACUGAGGAACGCAGUGUGCUUUUAGCGAGGGCUUCGGCUCUUUCACACUUAGGAUGCUGGUGGAAUGGCUUUAAACGACCCGU